Molecule: unclassified non-coding RNA, 218 nt
Filed under: uncultured Umbelopsis
Lineage: Eukaryota; Fungi; Mucoromycota; Umbelopsidomycetes; Umbelopsidales; Umbelopsidaceae
Description: sequence contains ITS2
Source: RNAcentral
ACACCUCACUACUACAACUUUAUUGUUAUAAUAGUGGACUUGGAAUGCGCUGGUGUCAAUCAGCCCUUCUAAAAUGGAGUUCUUGCACUGUUGAUUUGUUUUAACAGCAUGUUGGCCUAAUAAGUUUCGGCAGUAAUGUUGAAAUCACUGGCUUUUUUGCUUAGAAUCUGACAGUCUUGAUAUACAGAAUUUUUGAGGUGACUUGUCUCCUCUUCAAA